This 253-nucleotide ribosomal RNA is filed under the name uncultured bacterium. Its description in RNAcentral is "partial 16S ribosomal RNA". It matches the Rfam family "Bacterial small subunit ribosomal RNA", at positions 524 to 776 of the family's 1533-position model. The record is from RNAcentral.
UACGUAGGCAGCGAGCGUUGUUCGGAGUUACUGGGCGUAAAGGGUGUGUAGGCGGUUUUCUAAGUUUGGUGUGAAAUCUCCCGGCUUAACCGGGAGGGUGCGCCGAAAACUGGGAGACUAGAGUGCGGGAUGGGAGAGUAGAAUUCCUGGUGUAGCGGUGAAAUGCGUAGAUAUCAGGAGGAAUACCGGUGGUGUAGACGGCUCUCUAGUACGGUACUGACGCUGAGACGCGAAAGCGUGGGGAGCGAACAGG